This 849-nucleotide ribosomal RNA is filed under the name uncultured bacterium. RNAcentral describes it as "bacterial SSU rRNA". It matches the Rfam family "Bacterial small subunit ribosomal RNA", at positions 504 to 1361 of the family's 1533-position model. The record is from RNAcentral.
UGUGCCAGCCGCCGCGGUAAUACGUAGGGGGCGAGCGUUAUCCGGAUUCAUUGGGCGUAAAGCGCGCGUAGGCGGCCGGGCAGGCGGGGCGUCAAAUGGCGGGGCUCAACCCCGUCCCGCGCCCCGAACCGCCCGGCUCGGGUCCGGCAGGGGAGGGUGGAACGCCCGGUGUAGCGGUGGAAUGCGCAGAUAUCGGGCGGAACACCGGUGGCGAAGGCGGCCCUCUGGGCCGGCACCGACGCUGAGGCGCGAAAGCUGGGGGAGCGAACAGGAUUAGAUACCCUGGUAGUCCCAGCCGUAAACGAUGGACGCUAGGUGUGGGGGGACGGACCCCCCGUGCCGCAGCCAACGCAUUAAGCGUCCCGCCUGGGGAGUACGGCCGCAAGGCUAAAACUCAAAGGAAUUGACGGGGGCCCGCACAAGCAGCGGAGCAUGUGGCUUAAUUCGAAGCAACGCGAAGAACCUUACCUGCGCUUGACAUGACCGUGAAGCCGCGGAGACGCGGUGGCCGAGAGGAGCGGUCACAGGUGGUGCGUGGCUGUCGUCAGCUCGUGUCGUGAGAUGUUGGGUUAAGUCCCGCAACGAGCGCAACCCCCGCCGCGUGUUGCCAUCGGGUGAUGCCGGGAACCCACGCGGGACCGCCGCCGCCAAGGCGGAGGAGGGCGGGGACGACGUCAAGUCAUCAUGCCCCUUAUGCGCAGGGCUGCACACGUGCUACAAUGGCCGGUACAGAGGGAGGCGACCCCGCGAGGGGGAGCGGAUCCCGAAAGCCGGCCCCAGUUCGGAUCGGGGGCUGCACCCGCCCCCGUGAAGUCCGAGUUGCUAGUAAUCGCGGAUCAGCAUGCCGCG